CAACGCCGCGUGGAGGAUGAAGUCCCUUGGGAUGUAAACUCCUUUUCGACCGGGAAGAUACUGACGGUACCGGUGGAAGAAGCACCGGCCUAACUCUGUGC
Molecule: ribosomal RNA, 101 nt
Filed under: uncultured bacterium
Lineage: Bacteria
Description: partial 16S ribosomal RNA
Rfam family: Bacterial small subunit ribosomal RNA
Source: RNAcentral